RNAcentral lists this long non-coding RNA (846 nucleotides) under Ananas comosus (pineapple). RNAcentral's name for it is "long non-coding RNA (ACOM_LNC027955)". Lineage: Eukaryota; Viridiplantae; Streptophyta; Magnoliopsida; Poales; Bromeliaceae. The record is from RNAcentral.
AGGAUUAGAUCGAUACUCACAUUUCGUCUUGGCUUGAGGGAGGUCGCUCCCCCUCGAGCGGUGCGCUCCGGAGUUGGUCACUACUGGGCGUGGUAAAGUCCCACCAGUUGACGGUCCCUAGGGAGGUUCGAGUCCCCCGUUAUUAAGGGAUUUUGGGUUGUGAGUUAUUGGGGUUAAUAGAGUUAACCGGUAAGAUUGGGUAAGAGCCAAAGUUUGAUUAUGAUUGGAGCAUGCAUGCAUUUCCAUUUUCGCAUUGAAAUUGUAUAUCUACUGACUUCUUUCUUGCAGGCAUAGUAUUAGUUGCAUUAGUAAUGGUUACUUUUCUUCCUUUGAAAUACUUAUGCCUGGAUAGACCUAGUGGGUAAGUCGGCGAGGUCGGAUGCCGAGCCCACUGGGAACUUCGUUGUAGUUCUCACACCACUAACCCUACAGGUCCUAGCACGAGCGGGGCGGCGGAGGACCGAGGCAAGGGUUUGGCGCCGUAGGUAGCGGCCACCAGGACUUUUUGCAUUUUGUAGUCAUUCCCUUUUGUUAUAAAUGUAUCAACUUUAUUUUGUUGAUUUAGAAAUGAAAAGUGUAAACAAUCAUGUAUUUGGUGGAUGACUAAAUGUAAAAGAUAUAUUGGGUUGAAUGGAAUGUAAUAGCUUUGUUUACUUGAAUUUGGUUUAAAUGAAAUCAAAUAUCAUGUGUGAUUUAUAUUUAGCUUAGAGCUUUCGCUUCCGUUGUUGCUUGCCCUCGUGCGAGCCUUCUAUUAUAUAUGCAAUUCUCUUGUUGAUUGCUUAAUUAUACGUGUUGUUAGAGCCUUGGGCGGAGAGGGGAGGCUCUGUCUGUUCGGCGUCUGUCGAC